Musa acuminata subsp. malaccensis (wild Malaysian banana) is the source of this 2599-nucleotide non-coding RNA. The record is from RefSeq and is a predicted model, not a curated record. Lineage: Eukaryota; Viridiplantae; Streptophyta; Magnoliopsida; Zingiberales; Musaceae.
CCGUCGUCGUCUCCAGCGCCGCCCUCCUCUGCGCCUCUUCUUUCGGUUGGUUCCCGAGGAAGUAUCAGCGGAGUCCUCCCUCGGCGAUCAUGGCCGCGGAGGCGGCGGAAGAGAAACGUCAACCAAGGACGAGGCCCAGAUCCAGGCUCAUCGUCCGCCUCGCCGGGUUCCUCGUCGCCCACAGCGUUCUCGUCAGCGUGGUGUGUUGCAUAGCGGGGUCGAUCGCUUUCCUCCUCCUCCCCUUACUGGCCAAGAACACUUACGUCUCCGAGAACGCGCUGAUGCCAGGUUCUGCCAAUCCAAUGUUUUCUUCUCAGGAUGUACUCGAAGCAAACAGAUUUGACGAGGAAAUGAUUGAUAAAGAAAACACAAAAGCUACAGGAAUAGAAAUAGCAAAAUUGAUAGGUCAGCAGAUGGUGGAUGUGGGUGCUGAAUUGUAUUACCACAAAUUCCAACCUCAUGCCAAUCAGUUCCAUCCUCUUCAUUUUUUCUCUUCCAUCACUAAUACUUUGGAGAUGCAAGAUAACUCUAGCUGCACAUCAUUUGGUCUCAAUUCUGUUGGUAUUAUACGAGCGCCUCGUGGUGAUGGGAAUGUUGGUAACUCCUUACAAUGCAAAGAAUCUCAGACAGGAUGAAGCCUUAUCACUAGGGCUUGCCUUCUCAAUUUUCUCACUUCUUAGCAGAGUUACAUGGCUUGCAAAGGAUAUAGUUUGGUUAGCUGCAGAUUCCAGAUAUGGAGAGUAUAUAGCAGUUGAUACUUGGCUAAAAGACUACCAUAAUCCUUCUUUCCUUUAGUGAUUCAGGGAAGAUAGUUGCUGGUAUAUGUUUUGAAGAAAAUAUUCACCAUUUUAUGGAUCAAUUAAAGGUUAAUGGACCAAAGUGUAAUGUUUUUAAGCGUGCUGGAACUAUGGCUGCUGCUCUUGUAUUUAAGAUCGUGGACAAGGAGGAAGAAAGAGAUUGUGUUACUAUACAUGCAGAGGCAUCUAAUGGCCAGAUGCCUAAUCUUGAUCUUAUUAGUAUUGUUCGUUAUUUGGCAGUUCACAGACAAGGUCUGCAUGUAAAGAUUGAAACCAUGCAAUCAUUACUUAAAUCUGCAUUGCUCAAGUUUAUUGGUGAAAUGCUGCAAUGGUUUGGUAAACUGGCCAAACAAUUUAAUCCAAAAUGGAAAUUUGAUAUUACAGCUGCCAAAUAUGUUCAAGGCACUGCUACUCUUGCAAGCUCAAUUUAUUAUCAGGCCAUUGGUGUGCCAACUGGGUCCCAUGGGGCUUUCCGUGAUUACCAAGUGGAUGCAGUUACUCUUGAGCUCUCCCCCAGAUUCCCUCUUAAUAAUGACAACAGUCGAUAUGCAUUUCUUCUUAGGAGUGGCAGGUUAGUUGAAGCAGUCAUCCGCUCAGUAAAUAACCUUCUCGAGAAGUUUCAUAAGUCAUUUUUCCUCUAUCUCUUAACAGCUCCUCAUAAGUUUGUGUCUGUCGGAGUUUACAUGAUUCCAUUUGCACUGCUAAUAGCUCCUCUUCCAAUAGUCGCUGCUGCUCUCUUUUCUGGUAGUGAUAAAUUAGGACUUUCAGCAGAUGAAAUGAACCCAGAACCUGGAUGUGCCAGUCACACAGAAAUCAGCUCUGGAUCAUGGAAAUGGCUUCAAGCUGCAAAAGUGGUAUUCAUGAUUCACUUGUGGGGGAUCAUCGUGUCAUUGCUGCCGAGCAUUCUUUCCCAACCCCCCCUUAUAAUCCCAACAAAUCUCAUGUUAGUUUGGGCUGCAAUAGCCAUCGGAACCCUGCUGAUCUGCUACCUGGUUUUGGGCACUUGUUCCACCCAUUGUGGAUGGGAACUUCUGAAAUCUGUGAUGAUUGCUGCUGCUUCAAUGGGUCUGAGCUUAAUGUCAGUCAUCAAUUUCUCAACUGCACAGACUGGGGCCAUGCUGAUUGUUCCAAUGUGUUUGUUAGUUCAACCUCUGAGGAAGCAGGUGGAGGCAAGUGUUUGUCUCAGGUCGGCACUACUGGUGAUCUGCAAUUUAGCUCUGGCUGUGGUUGGGUUUCCAACAGUUGCAUUACUGACAUCUAGAGGUUCGUUUGAGGAUUUUGGAAAGACAAGUAUCGGUACCUUCUGGGAAUUGUCACAGCUCUUAUGGUCAUGGAACAGCGCCACUUACCUGUACCUACUAUGGAUUCAUCUACCUUGUUGGGUUCUUUGCUUGCAUAUUUUGCUCUAUCCAUGUAUUGGGAGGUCAUCCAAACCAUGAACAUUUUUUUGAAGCCGUUGAUAUUGUCAUAUUAUGGGAUCACUCAGUUGCAGAGCAAAUACUGGAGAAUUCUUGUUAUAGAAAGCCACUCAAGCUCAUUGGAAAAAUGCAUGGAGUUUUAGCAAAAGCUAUUCAUCUUGUGCCACUGAAGAAUUGUACGAAAAAGAUUUCCCUUUCAAGAUGACUCCAGAGAGAAAAAGAGGUUCUAAUUGUUCUGACAGAGCAUUAUUUUGAUUCGUGAUUUGACACUAACUGUUUAGAACUUUAGAUUUUGAUAUUUGCUGAUCCAUUGCUCGCCCUUUCAACAUGUUGAAUGCCUUGGGAGGAGUUGAACAUGACCAUAUAGUUAAUUUUAUUUCUGCA